UACGUAGGGUGCAAGCGUUAAUCGGAAUUACUGGGCGUAAAGCGUGCGCAGGCGGUUCGUUGUGUCGGCUGUGAAAGCCCCGGGCUUAACCUGGGAAUGGCCGUUGAAACUGGCGGACUGGAGUGUGGCAGAGGGGGGUGGAAUUCCGCGUGUAGCAGUGAAAUGCGUAGAGAUGCGGAGGAACACCGAUGGCGAAGGCAGCCCCCUGGGCUAACACUGACGCUCAGGCACGAAAGCGUGGGGAGCAAACAGG
RNAcentral lists this ribosomal RNA (253 nucleotides) under uncultured bacterium. RNAcentral's name for it is "partial 16S ribosomal RNA". It matches the Rfam family "Bacterial small subunit ribosomal RNA", at positions 524 to 776 of the family's 1533-position model. The record is from RNAcentral.